GCUCAGGUGAUCCUCAGUGGUCUGAGGUACAGGCUUCAAACCUUCAGCUCUGUGACAAUGGAGUGGUUCAAUUCCACCUCCUGGGU
RNAcentral lists this transfer RNA (86 nucleotides) under Chelonia mydas (Green sea turtle). RNAcentral describes it as "Selenocysteine transfer RNA". It matches the Rfam family "Selenocysteine transfer RNA". Lineage: Eukaryota; Metazoa; Chordata; Testudines; Cheloniidae. The record is from Rfam by way of RNAcentral.